This 1016-nucleotide ribosomal RNA is filed under the name uncultured bacterium. RNAcentral's name for it is "bacterial SSU rRNA". It matches the Rfam family "Bacterial small subunit ribosomal RNA", at positions 357 to 1376 of the family's 1533-position model. The record is from RNAcentral.
AGGAAUAUUGGUCAAUGGGCGAUGGCCUGAACCAGCCAAGUAGCGUGAAGGAUGACUGCCCUAUGGGUUGUAAACUUCUUUUAUAAAGGAAUAAAGUCGGGUAUGCAUACCCGUUUGCAUGUACUUUAUGAAUAAGGAUCGGCUAACUCCGUGCCAGCAGCCGCGGUAAUACGGAGGAUCCGAGCGUUAUCCGGAUUUAUUGGGUUUAAAGGGAGCGUAGAUGGAUGUUUAAGUCAGUUGUGAAAGUUUGCGGCUCAACCGUAAAAUUGCAGUUGAUACUGGAUGUCUUGAGUGCAGUUGAGGCAGGCGGAAUUCGUGGUGUAGCGGUGAAAUGCUUAGAUAUCACGAAGAACUCCGAUUGCGAAGGCAGCCUGCUAAGCUGCAACUGACAUUGAGGCUCGAAAGUGUGGGUAUCAAACAGGAUUAGAUACCCUGGUAGUCCACACAGUAAACGAUGAAUACUCGCUGUUGGCGAUAUACGGUCAGCGGCCAAGCGAAAGCAUUAAGUAUUCCACCUGGGGAGUACGCCGGCAACGGUGAAACUCAAAGGAAUUGACGGGGGCCCGCACAAGCGGAGGAACAUGUGGUUUAAUUCGAUGAUACGCGAGGAACCUUACCCGGGCUUAAAUUGCAACUGACUGAACCGGAAACGGUUCUUUCUUCGGACAGUUGUGAAGGUGCUGCAUGGUUGUCGUCAGCUCGUGCCGUGAGGUGUCGGCUUAAGUGCCAUAACGAGCGCAACCCUUAUCGAUAGUUACUAGCAGGUCAUGCUGAGGACUCUAUUGAGACUGCCGUCGUAAGAUGUGAGGAAGGUGGGGAUGACGUCAAAUCAGCACGGCCCUUACGUCCGGGGCUACACACGUGUUACAAUGGGGGGUACAGAAGGCAGCUACACGGCGACGUGGUGCUAAUCCCGAAAGCCUCUCUCAGUUCGGAUUGGAGUCUGCAACCCGACUCCAUGAAGCUGGAUUCGCUAGUAAUCGCGCAUCAGCCACGGCGCGGUGAAUACGUUCCCG